RNAcentral lists this long non-coding RNA (1276 nucleotides) under Phoenix dactylifera (date palm). Its description in RNAcentral is "long non-coding RNA (PDAC_LNC005805)". Lineage: Eukaryota; Viridiplantae; Streptophyta; Magnoliopsida; Arecales; Arecaceae. The record is from RNAcentral.
ACUCUCCAAAAUUUCCUUAUUGAGAAUUUCACUAUAAUCUAUUCUAGAUUAUAGUUCGAUUAUUUUACACGGAAUCACAAUCAACCCAGUUGAUGUUUUCAAAAAAUCAACCAAAGUCUACUCCGAUUGUUUUACUCAGGCUCACAAUCAAUCCAGGCAAUUUUUUAGGCCAAUCGACUGCAAUAUAGCUAUUUUACGGGUACAUCCAAACCUUGCAAACUAGUUGAUUUUCAUGGUGUUAGCCACACCAAAAAACCCCACAUGAGAUUUCUUAAUCUCGUACACAAAACAAGGAUAGAAAAAUACAUACAUGAUAACCUCUACAAAGGUUGGCUUGAUGCCAUUGAAGCUCAAUUUUGAUUGCUCUGAAAGUUGGGAUCUCAAUGAGUAGAGUUCAUCUCUUUUCUCUUCUUUUUCUUACUUGCUCUUGAUCUUGUGUUGGAAUUCAAUGAUUGGCAAUUGAAUCUCUCUCUUUAUGGAUGCUUUGAAGCUCACUUCAAAGUGAGAGGAGGAUUUAAAUGAUCAAUUCUCAUAUUGAUCCUCAAGUUGAAAUUCAAGAAGUGGUGUUCACUUAUAUUACUUUUUCUUUACUUUAUCCACUCAAUCUUUUUAAUCCCUCAUCUUCUCUAAUUCAAUUUGGAAGUAUUUAUAGCUUGAAAAAUUGUUGGAGAGUUAUUUCUAUCCAUUAGAGAGGAGAAACUAGCGGUUAGAAGCUAUUUUGAAUGUUCUAUGCUCGCCAAAAAACUAGUUGUUAAAGCUGUCACUGCAGAAUCCUGGGGUCGGCUCCUAAAAUUUUGGGGUCAUCUCGAGUCGACUCCUAAGAUGUUUGAAAGUGGUUGUCUUCUAUUUUUGACCUGUGGCUUUCUGCGUCGACUCUUAAAGCUCUGGGGUCGACUUCUCUACUACAAAAGCUUGUCCAACAGUUGAAAUAUACUCUAAUUCAAUCACCACCAAACUCUUAUAACUUUAUCUCUUUUUUAAUAUCCAAGACAGAUGCAUAAUAAAGGCAGUAGUGAGUCUUUUCAUAGUAAAGCCUUAAGGGCUCGUUUGGUUCGCAGGAAAAGAAGGAGGGAAAGUGUGGUCAACGGGAAAGUAAUGAAAUGCCUCUUGUUUGGUUGGAGUUUUCAAAGGAGAGAGAAGGAAAAGUUGUAUUCCCAUGGGAAUGUGAUUCCCACAUUUCAUGGGAAAGUCUUUCCCAUGAGAAACAUGGGAAAGUUACUUUCCCAUGAGGCGGGAAUCGCUCCAUUUUUACUUUUUCCCAAAAAGUCCCUUCAGC